Molecule: ribosomal RNA, 454 nt
Filed under: uncultured bacterium
Lineage: Bacteria
Description: partial 16S ribosomal RNA
Rfam family: Bacterial small subunit ribosomal RNA
Source: RNAcentral
GAUGAACGCUGACAGCAUGCUUAACACAUGCAAGUCAACUUGAACUUCGGUUUGGGUGGCGGACGGGUGAGUAACGCGUAAAGAACUUGCCUCACAGCUAGGGACAACAUUUGGAAACGAAUGCUAAUACCUGAUAUUAUGAUUAUAUGGCAUCGUAUAAUUAUGAAAGCUAUAUGCGCUGUGAGAGAGCUUUGCGUCCCAUUAGCUAGUUGGAGAGGUAACAGCUCACCAAGGCGAUGAUGGGUAGCCGGCCUGAGAGGGUGAUCGGCCACAAGGGGACUGAGACACGGCCCUUACUCCUACGGGAGGCAGCAGUGGGGAAUAUUGGACAAUGGACCGAGAGUCUGAUCCAGCAAUUCUGUGUGCACGAUGAAGUUUUUCGGAAUGUAAAGUGCUUUCAGUUGGGAAGAAAAAAAUGACGGUACCAACAGAAGAAGUGACGGCUAAAUACGUG